UUUUCCCUUAAAAAGUUGGAAAGGUUUACUUACUAUUAUAAGAGCCACUUCAAAUCCACAGUGAGGAGUAUAAAAAUGAAUGCAAUUACAUCAAGUUCUUUAAAAGUGGCUUUUACAAAACUGCCCCAGAAGAGGGUCAGGUAGAUUAGGAAACAAGAAUUUUGCCGAGAGCCUGUUUUGUGCAAUGCACAUUGCUGCACCUAGAAACAAAGCUAAAAUAAAUCGGGAAGGGAAGCACCGCUCCACCAAGGCGACGUUCACGCGCACAGACGCCAGCUUGUGGUUGGCGUGGGGGCGUUUCCUGAGAUCUUUUGCUUUUCUCAGAGGUUACCUGGUGGUGCUGGCGUACAGGGGUAAAGAUCGGCACUGAACUCGGAAGUAAUGCAGAAGUGAAUUGCCUCCAGGGCGGGCUGGCGGCACAGGGACCAGGGCCGGUGCGGGGAGAGCAGCCAGGACGCGUCCCGGGUCCGGCGCGCGGUGGCCCGGGGGCCUCGGCUAGGGAGCGGCGCGUUCGCUACUUCCUCUUCCCAAAGCUUAGGGAGUGAGAGCGAGUCUCCAAAAGAUUUCGAUCUGAACUUCGUGGGUGUCCGAAAGGAGGCAAGACUGACAUCUUCUGCCCCGGCUGAUAGCCCGCGUAGACGCGCAGCUCCGCGAGCGCCGGCAAGAGCCCAGGGAGAAGCGGCGUGAAGGGGCGGCCGGGGGAGAGGCUGGGCAGAAGCGCCCGUCCCCGGCCCGGGGCCGCAGAGCCGGGCGCUGGGACGCGGAGGAGCCGGGGCUGCGGCUUGCUGGGCAUUGCAGGAGCCCGGCGGAGAGGCGCGCCUCCCGGCCCGCAGUGGCACUCUCCGCCGAGGCCAGACGAGGCCCCGGGGACACCCGUCCACGGACGCUCGGGCGCGGCGUGUGGCGGCCUCCACAGUCCCAGCACCCCGCAGCCCCGGUGGUCCCGGAGAGGGGACCGCCUCCUCACCUUGCGGGGCAGACAUGCCCACCUCGCCCCCACUCUGCGCCCCAACUCUAAGCCCAGGGCCGCCCUCGACUGCGCGCUCCGGGAAGGGCGCUGCCUGAAAUGAGUCUGCUUCCUUAACCAAGAAGUGAUGGGAAGUUAUGAAAUCAGGCUGAGAGGUCAUUCAGGGAGGUGCUUUCCAGCUGGAAAAGGGGGAGGAAGGUUGUCCUCCGUUAGUAGCAUUUAUUUGAAAGAGUAAAAACAUUUUAUGUAUAUGCGCCUCUGAUGACUUGAGAGGCUUCCCUCAACAAUUUCGCACAUGUACAAGUUGUGAAACUGGGGGCUGUUUUCGCAACUCGGCCAGAGUGAGUGGUAGCGUCAGAGAGCGGGGUUCACUUGUAGAGGUGACCUCUGGUUGCUGUGGCUAUUAAACAAGAAAACCAACUCGGUGGCAUGGUUAGGCAAUGGUGUGGUCGCACAGUGGCUGGACAUGCAGCGAAUCAUCUGCAGAAGAUGUGGGCAGAUUGAUGAAGUACAACGAUGGGUCCAGGACAUGGCGAUGGGCAGGAUGUCAUUGUCAGCUAAGCUCAUGUGCAGGUGACUGCCCUUGGACAGAAAAAAAAUGUCAAGGGUCAGGAAACAUGUGGACCCCGAGGAGAGCAGAGAAAGUACUGAGUUUAAACCACUUUUCCUGAUUUGAUUCAAGCCAAGAGGAAAGCAAAGGGCUGUGUCAACUAACUUUCUCUGAACUGGUGCAUCAGCAGAACGGGCUGAGCCUCUCUCACUUACCUUUAGAUCCCAAACACAGAGUUUGUGCCCAUCCGGCUACCCUGCUCAGAGCUUCAGCACACGAAGGAGAAGAAGAACCACUUGGACAUCUAGCACUCCUCAAUCUUGCUCAAGGCUGGCAACUGUCACAGAAUAUCGUCAGCCAACGGAGCAUCCUAUCAACAUGUUUCCCGCUUCUUAAGCCAGUAGCCUCUCAAUUUGUGAUCAGUUCCAUGAGCCAUGUGUUUCAGCUUUGAUAUUCACGCUUCUGAGGUCUUGAAUUAUUUAUUAUCACCAAGAAUUAAAAAAUAUUCAUUCAUCUGUUGCUUGAAGAAAAUCUGUGGGGCAAUGACCAAUACCUGUAAACUAAAAAAUCUGUGUGUAAUGACGAUUCCUCAUGCAUAAUGGCUUAUUUUUAUGGCCCUUUUGUUACUAUUCUGCCUCACUCUAAGUGGGCAGUUCUAGGUCAUUUGUUAGUAAAGCAGAGUAUCUGAAAAGCAAAAAUGUAAAUAUUAUAGAUAUACAUACAUGUGUAUUAAUAACUAUUUUUUAAAAGUAUAAAUGUAAUAUAGUUUUUAAAAUCUCCAUCAGCACAGACAAUAAUAAAAAAUAGAAGUCAUCUUUCAAAUUCA
This is a long non-coding RNA of Mirounga angustirostris (Northern elephant seal), 2343 nucleotides long. RefSeq lists it as uncharacterized. The transcript is spliced from 2 exons. Lineage: Eukaryota; Metazoa; Chordata; Mammalia; Carnivora; Phocidae. The record is from RefSeq and is a predicted model, not a curated record.